Molecule: long non-coding RNA, 1307 nt
Organism: Herpailurus yagouaroundi (jaguarundi)
Lineage: Eukaryota; Metazoa; Chordata; Mammalia; Carnivora; Felidae
Exons: 4
Source: RefSeq, a predicted model, not a curated record
AUAAAGGGUGAACAGAUAUUCAUCCACAUCAAAGAGAGAUCUGAAGCCUACAUCAUGACUUAAGAAUGGAACAAAGCCUUCCGCCUUAUAAUUUUGAGAAUUGUUACUGAAAGACUGUUUGGAGUUUCUGUUCUUGGCAACACUGUGAUGCCUAAGCCACCUGAGGCCAACGUUUGCAUGUUCCAUUUCAGGCCAGUUGAGCAAGAACCAAGCAACCUCACUUGGUCUACAACUGAUAUCUUACUUUUUGCCUUGGCCGACAAGUCUCAAGAUGUGAAUGAAGCUUCUAGCAAACGGUUGUCUCUCUCACCAAAUGAGUCUGUAAAGGAAGAAUAUACCUUACUGUGAUUGGCUGUCACACCGACUUUCAGGGCAUGGGGACAUUCAAGAGCAAAGGGAAAUGGGCUUCAUAAAAGACAAAAUCAAGACGCUGAAUCCUCUGGAAAAAUAGUAGUCUGGGAGGGUCCCCCUUCCUCAGCUCCCUGGCUGUUUCUGGGACACGAGAGCGGGAAACUUGGGACUUUGCCUGCAAACUCGCCCACGUGCGCGUGUGGUGUUCCCCAAAGGAACGCACCUGACGUGGGGUCGUUUCCCUUUGCGAAUUUCACCAGUUAACGGGAUGGGGUUUUCUAAAUGCCACCAGCAUGCCGACCAAACUGCGCGCCGUUCUCUUCGCAUUUCCUGAAGCUGGGUGCGAACUGGAGCGUUCUCACUGCGAGGUUUAAUGCUAGGAUUACUUUCCUCCAAAUGUCACCAAAAAAAGAUGAAACCUGAACAUCACAGCUCGUAUAAACACUGUGUCUCCUUCCUCCUGUUACCUUCUCCCUUCUGGUUCGGAAGAGUUAUUUCCCGGCGGUUGGAUCUUAAGAAAUUCCACCCGGGGUCACCUUAUAUUCCACACCCGAUUCUUAAACCCACAACACCGGAGCGGCUCCUUGCGGUCCAGCAGUGAAUGCGCCCAAACACUGGCUAGUGACGGGUAGGGUCUUUUUGUGCCUGAGCGCGGGCUGCGUUAACCCCAGGGACAGCAUGCUCUCUGACUGGUCGCAGUGAGCACAGAUUUCGGUUUUGGGUACGUGGGCAUCCUUUCCUAAGGGACCCACGAGGCUCCAGUGCAGUCAACAGCAUGAUAGGAGAACGAUGUUUUCUUCUCGAGGGGCGAGCACCGAAGGCAGAUGGCUCCCCACGUGAUGGUGUUUUCGGCCUGCCAAAAUCAAGGUGCCAAGACAGGAGUCGAGGUGCCAAAACUAGUCGAGGAGUUUUACUGCCUCACUGUAUCCUUCCAAAUAAAAUGACAUCAAAUAUCA